This 504-nucleotide ribosomal RNA is filed under the name Durinskia baltica. RNAcentral describes it as "partial Eukaryotic small subunit ribosomal RNA". Lineage: Eukaryota; Dinophyceae; Peridiniales; Kryptoperidiniaceae. The record is from RNAcentral.
UCGGCAGGUGAGUUGUUACACACUCCUUAGCGGAUUUCGACUUCCAUGACCACCGUCCUGCUGUUAAAAUGAACCAACACCCUUUAUGGUAUCUGAUGAGCGAGCAGUUAAACACCUUAACUCAACGUUAGGUUCAUCCCUCAUCGCCAGUUCUGCUUACCAAAAAUGGCCCACUUAGAGUUGGCAUUUAUCCCAGAAGUUCAGCUAAGUAACCACUGGAUCUUACCCAUUUAAAGUUUGAGAAUAGGUCGAGGACAAAGCGCCCCCGAUUCCUCUAAUCAUUCGCUUUACCUGAUAAAACUGUUCGGUUGCAGCUAUCCUAAGGGAAAUUUCGGGAGGAACCAGCUACUAGAUGGUUCGAUUAGUCUUUCGCCCCUAUACCCAAGUUCGACGAUCAAUUUGCACGUUAGAAUCGCUGCGGACCUCCACCAGAGUUUCCCCUGGCUUCGCCCUACUCAAGCAUAGUUCACCAUCUUUCGGGUCCCAACAUGUAUGCUCACACUC